GACAAUUCCAGGAGGAACUGGCUUCCAUGGACAAGGAGAUUGAGGUCCGGAAUGCAGUCCUGGACCUGCCCUUUUUCCACCAAUAUAUACAUCCCUAAACAACAUGACUUAGUUUUGAAACACUGAGCAGCAAGCACCAAUCUAGAAGAAUAAGGAAAGGGUGAUGUUACCACUGUUUGAGGAAGGCUCAGGAGGAGAAGAUAAACUGAACAGCCUCUCGGUCAUUGUCUGGCUUCAGCUUCCCUAAGCAUUUAUAAGAGCUUUUUAUGGGAAAAUCAUUGAGUAAGAUGAUGAGUAACACUGGGAAUCACUGGGCUCAGCACAGGUGAGACAUACGGUAACGCUGGAGAAUGGGCCGAGUUUUAGAUGUUUGGCCAGGAUAUAGUCAGAAGGAGAUGGCUGUUGUGUAUAUUCUGCUCAUCACGACUUCUCCUCCACUUCCCAGAAGAGGUCAAGGCAGAACAUUUCUGGAUGACACCCACAGUAGAUCAAGCAUCAGAGCACUCGAGGAAUGAGCAG
This is a long non-coding RNA of Homo sapiens (human), 519 nucleotides long. Ensembl annotates it as arachidonate 12-lipoxygenase pseudogene 2. Its record names the gene ALOX12P2. Lineage: Eukaryota; Metazoa; Chordata; Mammalia; Primates; Hominidae. The record is from Ensembl.